GACGAACGCUGGCGGCGUGCCUAAUACAUGCAAGUAGAACGCUGAAGAGAGGAGCUUACUCUUCUUGGAUGAGUUGCGAACGGGUGAGUAACGCGUAGGUAACCUGCCUUGUAGCGGGGGAUAACUAUUGGAAACGAUAGCUAAUACCGCAUAACAAUGGAUGACACAUGUCAUUUAUUUGAAAGGGGCAAUUGCUCCACUACCAGAUGGACCUGCGUUGUGUUAGCUAGUAGGUGAGGUAAUGGCUCACCUAGGCGACGAUACAUAGCCGACCUGAGAGGGUGAUCGGCCACACUGGGACUGAGACACGGCCCAGACUCCUACGGGAGGCAGCAGUAGGGAAUCUGCGGCAAUGGGGGCAACCCUGACCGAGCAACGCCGCGUGAGUGAAGAAGGUUUUCGGAUCGUAAAGCUCUGUUGUAAGUCAAGAACGGGUGUGAGAGUGGAAAGUUCACACUGUGACGGUAGCUGACCAGAAAGGGACGGCUAACUACGUG
Molecule: ribosomal RNA, 497 nt
Filed under: uncultured bacterium
Lineage: Bacteria
Description: partial 16S ribosomal RNA
Rfam family: Bacterial small subunit ribosomal RNA
Source: RNAcentral